RNAcentral lists this ribosomal RNA (301 nucleotides) under uncultured bacterium. Its description in RNAcentral is "partial 16S ribosomal RNA". It matches the Rfam family "Bacterial small subunit ribosomal RNA", at positions 509 to 807 of the family's 1533-position model. The record is from RNAcentral.
CAGUAGCCGCGGUAAUACGAAGGGUGCAAGCGUUAAUCGGAAUUACUGGGCGUAAAGCGUGCGUAGGCGGUGAGUUAAGUCUGCUGUGAAAUCCCCGGGCUCAACCUGGGAAUGGCAGUGGAUACUGGCUCGCUAGAGUGUGUCAGAGGAUGGUGGAAUUCCCGGUGUAGCGGUGAAAUGCGUAGAGAUCGGGAGGAACAUCAGUGGCGAAGGCGGCCAUCUGGGACAACACUGACGCUGAGGCACGAAAGCGUGGGGAUCAAACAGGAUUAGAUACCCCUGUAGUCCCUGUCUCUUAUAC